CCCCCCCUCCAUGUCGCUGCUCUCAGUGUAGCUGGUGAACUGAAGCACAGAAAAUAGUGACAAUGCCUGCACUUCGCUGAGGAAAGCCAUCUGAGUUUGGACUCUAUCUGUUAAUACUGUUUAGAAUCUUCUAUUGCAAUAGAAAAUGCACCUUUCAUACAAAGGCUAUCUUCUGCAAAGACUGAUUAAGCCUUACAGUGUCUUGAGAGGCAUUCUUAUGUACCUUGAGAGCAUGAAAACAGUGAAUAAGGAGUUCUCAAUAAGUAACCAAUAGAAAAUGCAGGCAUAGGGUAUGGAUGACCUCACACCUGUCUGGAGUCUGUCUCAGAUGUUCAUU
RNAcentral lists this long non-coding RNA (337 nucleotides) under Crocodylus porosus (Australian saltwater crocodile). Its description in RNAcentral is "lncRNA (ENSCPRG00005009918.1)". Lineage: Eukaryota; Metazoa; Chordata; Crocodylia; Crocodylidae. The record is from RNAcentral.